GAUCUCGUAGCUCAGCUGGCUAGAGCACUUGACUUUUAAUCAGGGGGUCCUGGGUUCGAGUCCCAGCGGGAUCA
This 74-nucleotide transfer RNA is filed under the name Haliscomenobacter hydrossis DSM 1100. RNAcentral describes it as "tRNA-Lys (TTT) (tRNA-Lys-TTT-1-1)". It matches the Rfam family "tRNA". From Rfam's summary of the family: Transfer RNA (tRNA) molecules are approximately 80 nucleotides in length. Their secondary structure includes four short double-helical elements and three loops (D, anti-codon, and T loops). RNAcentral also lists the same sequence under 1 other name. Lineage: Bacteria; Pseudomonadati; Bacteroidota; Saprospiria; Saprospirales; Haliscomenobacteraceae. The record is from Rfam by way of RNAcentral.